GAUGAACGCUGGCGGCGUGCCUAAUACAUGCAAGUCGAGCGAACAGACGAGGAGCUUGCUCCUCUGACGUUAGCGGCAGACGGGUGAGUAACACGUGGAUAACCUACCUAUAAGACUGGGAUAACUUCGGGAAACCGGAGCUAAUACCGGAUAAUAUAUUGAACCGCAUGGUUCAAUAGUGAAAGACGGUUUUGCUGUCACUUAUAGAUGGAUCCGCGCCGCAUUAGCUAGUUGGUAAGGUGACGGCUUACCAAGGCAACGAUGCGUAGCCGACCUGAGAGGGUGAUCGGCCACACUGGAACUGAGACACGGUCCAGACUCCUACGGGAGGCAGCAGUAGGGAAUCUUCCGCAAUGGGCGAAAGCCUGACGGAGCAACGCCGCGUGAGUGAUGAAGGUCUUCGGAUCGUAAAACUCUGUUAUUAGGGAAGAACAAAUGUGUAAGUAACUAUGCACGUCUUGACGGUACCUAAUCAGAAAGCCACGGCUAACUACGUG
This 497-nucleotide ribosomal RNA is filed under the name uncultured bacterium. Its description in RNAcentral is "partial 16S ribosomal RNA". It matches the Rfam family "Bacterial small subunit ribosomal RNA", at positions 28 to 507 of the family's 1533-position model. The record is from RNAcentral.